RNAcentral lists this ribosomal RNA (254 nucleotides) under uncultured bacterium. Its description in RNAcentral is "partial 16S ribosomal RNA". It matches the Rfam family "Bacterial small subunit ribosomal RNA", at positions 524 to 776 of the family's 1533-position model. The record is from RNAcentral.
UACGGGGGGAGCAAGCGUUGUUCGGAUUUACUGGGCGUAAAGGGCGCGUAGGCGGUCGUGACAAGUCACUUGUGAAAUCUCCGGGCUUAACUCGGAACGGUCAAGUGAUACUGUCGGACUAGAGUACAGAAGGGGCAACUGGAAUUCUCGGUGUAGCGGUGAAAUGCGUAGAUAUCAGUCGGAACACCAGUGGCGAAGGCGGCUUCUUGGGCCAUUACUGACGCUGAGGCGCGAAAGCCAGGGGAGCGAACGGG